This 495-nucleotide ribosomal RNA is filed under the name uncultured bacterium. RNAcentral's name for it is "partial 16S ribosomal RNA". It matches the Rfam family "Bacterial small subunit ribosomal RNA", at positions 28 to 507 of the family's 1533-position model. The record is from RNAcentral.
GACGAACGCUGGCGGCGUGCCUAAUACAUGCAAGUAGAACGCUGAAGGAGGAGCUUGCUUCUCUGGAUGAGUUGCGAACGGGUGAGUAACGCGUAGGUAACCUGCCUGGUAGCGGGGGAUAACUAUUGGAAACGAUAGCUAAUACCGCAUAAUAGUAGAUGUUGCAUGACAUUUGCCUAAAAGGUGCAAUUGCAUCACUACCAGAUGGACCUGCGUUGUAUUAGCUAGUUGGUGGGGUAACGGCUCACCAAGGCGACGAUACAUAGCCGACCUGAGAGGGUGAUCGGCCACACUGGGACUGAGACACGGCCCAGACUACUACGGGAGGCAGCAGUAGGGAAUCGUCGGCAAUGGACGGAAGUCUGACCGAGCAACGCCGCGUGAGUGAAGAAGGUUUUCGGAUCGUAAAGCUCUGUUGUAAGAGAAGAACGGGUGUGAGAGUGGAAAGUUCACACUGUGACGGUAUCUGAACAGAAAGGGACGGCUAACUACGUG